RNAcentral lists this long non-coding RNA (364 nucleotides) under Pandoravirus dulcis. RNAcentral describes it as "putative ncRNA". The record is from RNAcentral.
CGCGAAUGCGAUAGGUGACCGGCGGGCCGUUCGGAGUCGCUGGCGGGAACAGGAUCGGCAAGCCAGACGCCGCAUCGCCCUUGGGGACGUGGACGCGCAAGUAGGCCGCGGCGUCGUCGCGUAGUUCCGCAUGCUGAGCAUGCCGGAGGCGCCUUUCCUCGGUGGCCCGCGCCUGCUCCUCGGCGCGUGCGAUCUGCUUGGCGGUCUUGCGUUUUGGCUUCUUCUUUUGCCUUGCGCUGUUCUUUUCGUCCCUUUCGUCGGCGGUGGCCACCGCCGACGCAGUCGUGGUUGUCGUCGGGGGUUCGUCGGUGGGCAGGUCGGCGGUGAGAGCGGCCAUGCUGGCGGUCAGCGGGGCGAUGCGGCG